This 464-nucleotide ribosomal RNA is filed under the name Vreelandella stevensii. RNAcentral describes it as "partial 16S ribosomal RNA". It matches the Rfam family "Bacterial small subunit ribosomal RNA", at positions 339 to 795 of the family's 1533-position model. Lineage: Bacteria; Pseudomonadati; Pseudomonadota; Gammaproteobacteria; Oceanospirillales; Halomonadaceae. The record is from RNAcentral.
CCUCGGGUGGCAGCAGUGGGGAAUAUUGGACAAUGGGGGCAACCCUGAUCCAGCCAUGCCGCGUGUGUGAAGAAGGCCCUCGGGUUGUAAAGCACUUUCAGUGAGGAAGAACGCCUGGUGGUUAAUACCCAUCAGGAAAGACAUCACUCACAGAAGAAGCACCGGCUAACUCCGUGCCAGCAGCCGCGGUAAUACGGAGGGUGCGAGCGUUAAUCGGAAUUACUGGGCGUAAAGCGCGCGUAGGUGGCUUGAUAAGCCGGUUGUGAAAGCCCCGGGCUCAACCUGGGAACGGCAUCCGGAACUGUCAAGCUAGAGUGCAGGAGAGGAAGGUAGAAUUCCCGGUGUAGCGGUGAAAUGCGUAGAGAUCGGGAGGAAUACCAGUGGCGAAGGCGGCCUUCUGGACUGACACUGACACUGAGGUGCGAAAGCGUGGGUAGCAAACAGGAUUAGAUACCCUAGUAGUC